AGCGAACGCUGGCGGCAGGCUUAACACAUGCAAGUCGAACGGAUCCUUCGGGAUUAGUGGCUGACGGGUGAGUAACACGUGGGAACGUGCCUUUUGGUUCGGAACAACACAGGGAAACUUGUGCUAAUACCGGAUGUGCCCUUCGGGGAAGGAUUAUCGCCAUUAGAGCGGCCCGCGUCUGAUUAGCUAGUUGGUGAGGUAAAGGCUCACCAAGGCUACGAUCAGUAGCUGGCUGAGAGGAUGAUCAGCCACACUGGGACUGAGACACGGCCCAGACUCCUACGGGAGGCAGCAGUGGGGAAUCUUGCGCAAUGGGGGAGACCCUGACGCAGCCAUGCCGCGUGAAUGAUGAAGGUCUUAGAUUGUAAAAUUCUUUCAGCGGGGACGAUAAUGACGGUACCCGCAGAAGAAGCU
RNAcentral lists this ribosomal RNA (414 nucleotides) under uncultured bacterium. Its description in RNAcentral is "bacterial SSU rRNA". It matches the Rfam family "Bacterial small subunit ribosomal RNA", at positions 29 to 492 of the family's 1533-position model. The record is from RNAcentral.